This 309-nucleotide ribosomal RNA is filed under the name uncultured eukaryote. Its description in RNAcentral is "partial 18S ribosomal RNA". It matches the Rfam family "Eukaryotic small subunit ribosomal RNA", at positions 1470 to 1796 of the family's 1831-position model. The record is from RNAcentral.
CCCUUAGAUGUUCUGGGCGGCCCGCGCACUACAUUGGCACUCUCAAUAAGUUCCUAGAUCUAAAACUUUGGGGUAUUCUAUUAAGUGGUGUCGUGACUGGGAUUAACCCUUGCGAUUAUUGGUUACGAACGAGGAAUUCCUUGUAAUCGCGGUUUAUCAGCCCGCGUUGAAUGCGUCCCUGCCCUUUGUACACACCGCCCGUCGCUCCUACCGAUGAAUCGUCCGGUGAAGUUCAUGGAGUGGUGGUUGUUCCAGCUGCUGUCGAAGUGAAAUGGACCUCACGAUUUAGAGGAAGGAGAAGUCGUAACA